Molecule: ribosomal RNA, 638 nt
Filed under: uncultured bacterium
Lineage: Bacteria
Description: bacterial SSU rRNA
Rfam family: Bacterial small subunit ribosomal RNA
Source: RNAcentral
CGUAUGCAACUUACCUAUCAGAGGGGGAUAACCCGGCGAAAGUCGGACUAAUACCGCAUGAAGCAGGGGCCCCGCAUGGGGAUAUUUGCUAAAGAUUCAUCGCUGAUAGAUAGGCAUGCGUUCCAUUAGGCAGUUGGCGGGGUAACGGCCCACCAAACCGACGAUGGAUAGGGGUUCUGAGAGGAAGGUCCCCCACAUUGGUAUUGAGACACGGACCAAACUCCUACGGGAGGCAGCAGUGAGGAAUAUUGGUCAAUGGGCGUAAGCCUGAACCAGCCAAGUCGCGUGAGGGAUGAAGGUUCUAUGGAUCGUAAACCUCUUUUAUAAGGGAAUAAAGUUCGGGACGUGUCCCGUUUUGUAUGUACCUUAUGAAUAAGGAUCGGCUAACUCCGUGCCAGCAGCCGCGGUAAUACGGAGGAUCCGAGCGUUAUCCGGAUUUAUUGGGUUUAAAGGGUGCGUAGGCGGCCUUUUAAGUCAGCGGUGAAAGUCUGUGGCUCAACCAUAGAAUUGCCGUUGAAACUGGGGGGCUUGAGUAUGUUUGAGGCAGGCGGAAUGCGUGGUGUAGCGGUGAAAUGCUUAGAUAUCACGCAGAACCCCGAUUGCGAAGGCAGCCUGCCAAGCCAUGACUGACGCUGAUG